AACGAACGCUGGCGGCAUGCCUAACACAUGCAAGUCGAACGAGACCUUCGGGUCUAGUGGCGCACGGGUGCGUAACGCGUGGGAACCUGCCCUUAGGUUCGGAAUAACUCCCCGAAAGGGGUGCUAAUACCGGAUAAUGUCUUCGGACCAAAGAUUUAUCGCCUUUGGAUGGGCCCGCGUUGGAUUAGCUAGUUGGUAGGGUAAAAGCCUACCAAGGCGACGAUCCAUAGCUGGUCUGAGAGGAUGAUCAGCCACACUGGGACUGAGACACGGCCCAGAAUACUACGGGAGGCAGCAGUGGGGAAUAUUGGAAAAUGGGCGAAAGCCUGAUCCAGCAAUGACGCGUGAGUGAUGAAGGCCUUAGGGUUGUAAAGCUAUUUUACCCGGGAUGAUAAUGACAGUACCGGGAGAAUAAGCUCCGGCUAACUCCGUG
This 433-nucleotide ribosomal RNA is filed under the name uncultured bacterium. Its description in RNAcentral is "partial 16S ribosomal RNA". It matches the Rfam family "Bacterial small subunit ribosomal RNA", at positions 29 to 507 of the family's 1533-position model. The record is from RNAcentral.